CCUACGGGGGGCUGCAGUGGGGAAUAUUGGACAAUGGGCGAAAGCCUGAUCCAGCCAUGCCGCGUGUGUGAAGAAGGCCUUCGGGUUGUAAAGCACUUUCAGUGGGGAAGAAAGCCUUGGGGCUAAUACCCUCGAGGAAGGACAUCACCCACAGAAGAAGCACCGGCUAACUCCGUGCCAGCAGCCGCGGUAAUACGGAGGGUGCGAGCGUUAAUCGGAAUUACUGGGCGUAAAGCGCGCGUAGGCGGUCUGAUAAGCCGGUUGUGAAAGCCCCGGGCUCAACCUGGGAACGGCAUCCGGAACUGUCAGGCUAGAGUGCAGGAGAGGAAGGUAGAAUUCCCGGUGUAGCGGUGAAAUGCGUAGAGAUCGGGAGGAAUACCAGUGGCGAAGGCGGCCUUCUGGACUGACACUGACGCUGAGGUGCGAAAGCGUGGGUAGCAAACAGGAUUAGAUACCCGUUGUAGUC
RNAcentral lists this ribosomal RNA (466 nucleotides) under Vreelandella stevensii. Its description in RNAcentral is "partial 16S ribosomal RNA". It matches the Rfam family "Bacterial small subunit ribosomal RNA", at positions 338 to 795 of the family's 1533-position model. Lineage: Bacteria; Pseudomonadati; Pseudomonadota; Gammaproteobacteria; Oceanospirillales; Halomonadaceae. The record is from RNAcentral.